AUUCCAUGAUGGGGACAUUCUAGGAUGUACUCUUGGAAGCGUUCUGAUGCUUCUGGAACAGAUUCAUCAUGUUGUUGCUGAAAACUUAUAAUCAUCCCACGGAGAGC
Molecule: small nucleolar RNA, 107 nt
Filed under: Sorghum bicolor (sorghum)
Lineage: Eukaryota; Viridiplantae; Streptophyta; Magnoliopsida; Poales; Poaceae
Description: Plant small nucleolar RNA R71
Rfam family: Plant small nucleolar RNA R71
About the family: R71 is a member of the C/D box family of snoRNAs containing the C (UGAUGA) and D (CUGA) box motifs. Multiple nearly identical copies of this snoRNA have been identified in Arabidopsis, and it is thought to function as a 2'-O-ribose methylation guide for 18S ribosomal RNA.
Source: Rfam by way of RNAcentral